This 396-nucleotide long non-coding RNA is filed under the name Homo sapiens (human). Its description in RNAcentral is "HSALNT0319885". Lineage: Eukaryota; Metazoa; Chordata; Mammalia; Primates; Hominidae. The record is from RNAcentral.
UGGAGGCAAAGGAGCUUUAAGGUUUAAUGACUACCCGAUUGAAUUUUGGGCCUGCAUGGUGGUUGUAGCCCCUUCAUUUUGGCCAAUUUCUUCCAUUUGGAAUGGCUGUACUUAUCUACUGCCUCUACCCCCAUUAUAUCUAUGUGGCUCCUCAAUCAAGGGAUAUAAUCUAUUUCUGCUCUCUUAAAUUGAAUUUGCUCUGUGACUUGCUUUGGCUAAUGGGACAUCAGCAAACAUGACAGUAACCUGCUGAAUAAAGAGAGAGACAUGUGACCAUCACCCUAGAGACACCAGGGCAAUUUUCAAAAACGCACUGCAUUACAAAAUACAUAUGUACAACCAUCAUUGCUUUCAUCAAAGAAUGAGCAGAGUUACUUUUUCUUCAUAUAAAGAAAA